This 253-nucleotide ribosomal RNA is filed under the name uncultured bacterium. RNAcentral's name for it is "partial 16S ribosomal RNA". It matches the Rfam family "Bacterial small subunit ribosomal RNA", at positions 524 to 776 of the family's 1533-position model. The record is from RNAcentral.
UACGAAGGGGGCUAGCGUUGCUCGGAAUCACUGGGCGUAAAGGGUGCGUAGGCGGGUCUUUAAGUCAGGGGUGAAGUCCUGGAGCUCAACUCCAGAACUGCCUUUGAUACUGAAGAUCUUGAGUUCGGGAGAGGUGAGUGGAACUGCGAGUGUAGAGGUGAAAUUCGUAGAUAUUCGCAAGAACACCAGUGGCGAAGGCGGCUCACUGGCCCGAUACUGACGCUGAUGCACGAAAGCGUGGGGAGCAAACAGG